Molecule: transfer RNA, 113 nt
Filed under: Caudoviricetes sp.
Lineage: Duplodnaviria; Heunggongvirae; Uroviricota; Caudoviricetes
Description: tRNA-OTHER
Rfam family: tRNA
About the family: Transfer RNA (tRNA) molecules are approximately 80 nucleotides in length. Their secondary structure includes four short double-helical elements and three loops (D, anti-codon, and T loops).
Source: RNAcentral
AUGCAAGUGGUCAAGUUGUGUAAGACGCCGGAAGGUUAAUACCUGACAUGUGAACGCUUAAGCGUCAAGACGGAGGACGUCGGAAUCGUGGGUUCGAAUCCCACCUUGCAUUA